AGCAGCCGCGGUAAUUCCAGCUCCAAUAGCGUAUAUUAAAGUUGUUGCAGUUAAAAAGCUCGUAGUUGAAUUUUGGGUUUGGCCGAUUGGUCCGUUCUUGUAACGAGUACUGGUCGGUUGGGCCUCACCGCCUGGUGAUGCGUAAUGCCCUUUAUUGGGUGUUGCGAGUAGUCAGGACCUUUACCUUGAAAAAAUUAGAGUGUUUAAAGCAGGCUUAUGCCGGAAUACAUUAGCAUGGAAUAAUAGAAUAGGACGAUGAUUCUAUUUUGUUGGUUUCUAGGAGCAUCGUAAUGAUUAAUAGGGAUAGUUGGGGGCAUUAGUAUUCAAUUGUCAGAGGUGAAAUUCUUGGAUUUAUUGAAGACUAACUACUGCGAAAGCAUUUGCCAAGGAUGUUUUCAUUAAUCAAGAACGAAAGUUAGGGGAUCGAAGACGAUCAGAUACCGUCGUAGUCUUAACCAUAAACUAUGCCGACUAGGGAUCGGGCGAUGUUGUUUCAAUGACUCGCUCGGCACCUUAUG
Molecule: ribosomal RNA, 518 nt
Filed under: uncultured Archaeosporaceae
Lineage: Eukaryota; Fungi; Glomeromycota; Glomeromycetes; Archaeosporales; Archaeosporaceae
Description: SSU rRNA
Rfam family: Eukaryotic small subunit ribosomal RNA
Source: RNAcentral